UUUUUCUUUUUGUUUUUUUGGGAUACGAUUGCUUUCAAGCAAUCUGUAGACUUAUACCGGUGGCUCAGAGCAAUUUCCCUCACGUCAAUCGUUUUAUUCAAAACAUUAAGGAACAUCUCAGAUUCUUAUGAUUGUCUUGCUUUAAAAGGUAAAAACAAACAAAGGGAUUGAACUUAAUCAACUUUCCUAUAAUGUUCUUUUCAUAAUCUUCAUGUUUGAUAAUUCCCUUGACUUCGAUGCGUGUUUUUAACAACACGGAAAAUCAGAAUUAAGCAGUAUUUAUAUUUAGUGUAGUUAUAAAUUUAGAAACACGUCAGAGGGAAUUCCCAGUUUUGAUAAAAUGCGAGAGUUCUUUGAAUACCGAUAAAUCUAUUUCUGUCAUAUAAGAACUGAAGUGGAGUUUUUCUUAUAUGUUACCGUUAUGAAACUGAUAUUUGAGAUUGUACUUCCAUAAAGAAAUUGAGAACCAUCUAGGUCGUUUAAUAA
Molecule: long non-coding RNA, 486 nt
Filed under: Mytilus galloprovincialis (Mediterranean mussel)
Lineage: Eukaryota; Metazoa; Mollusca; Bivalvia; Mytilida; Mytilidae
Source: RNAcentral